RNAcentral lists this long non-coding RNA (1559 nucleotides) under Numida meleagris (helmeted guineafowl). RNAcentral describes it as "lncRNA (ENSNMEG00000012666.1)". Lineage: Eukaryota; Metazoa; Chordata; Aves; Galliformes; Numididae. The record is from RNAcentral.
GCCAGGUGUCACUGCAGGGUGCCGAACCGCCGCGCUCCGCCCGCGCCUUUCCGCGGCUCGAGCUGCGGGCUGCGCUCCUCCGGGCCGGGCCGGGCCGCGGGCGCCCAGCAGAGCUCUGCUCCGCACCCACCGCGCGGGGGAGGUGUGCGGUGCGGCUGCCUCACCUUGGAGCUCCCCUUUCCCCGUCAGCCCUGCCCGUCAGCCCCCCCACGCCCUGAUGCUGAAGGCAUUGGCCUUAAGUGGGUCGCCUCUCUCUCAUUGUUGGCCCUUCCCAAUACGCCUAAUUAUUUUUUUGCUGGGACCGCAAAUCUCAGUGUCUGCCGACGGGCUUUCAGCAGUGCCAGAGCCCUCCGCCUCCCCUCCCCUCUGCCCAGCGAGCUUUCUGCUCCUUCCUUCCGACUCCCGUUGUUAGAGAUCAGACAGCGACUUCGCUGGCCUGGGAGAAACUGGGGCUAGAGCCUCGCGCUUGGUUAUAAUCCAAUUAUACUUCUGAAAACUGCAGCAGCAGAAAGCGAGUGCUGGUGGGGUGCCGUCCUUUUGUCUGCGAGCCUCAGUGAAAUAUUGCGUUACAGCUUGUUCGUGGAGCUAUUAUGCUGAAAAGGCCGAUAUUUAUAGGCUAUUGUGGGAGGCUGGGCGUUGGUGCGGGAGCCCCAUCAGCACAGCACGCGGGGGCACGGCGGCUCGAAGCGGGGCCGGGGCUGCUGCAGGACGGUGUCUGCACGUGGGCUGCCCCAGCCCCGUCCUGCAGAACCAGGCUGAAUUGUCGGUGCCGUUCCUGUUCCGUGGAUUGUUCUCAUUCGAAGAGAAGAGAUGGAGCUCUCUGCAUCCUGCUGCCAUAGGAAGGGCAGAGCAGGGUGCCGGGUGCCGCGGCCCCGGGCUUGGUUUGGCUGUGCCGUGGCACUGGGCAGAGCUCAGGGCUGGACAGGAGCUGCAGGCAGGGGGGGUGCUGGGUGUCUGCUGGGGGCUCGGGGCUGAAUUUAGGUGCUGGGCAGUGCUUUUGGGUUUUGAUUCACAGCGCUUUACGUCCGACGUGCAAAACAUCUCCGUCAGCCUGAUUCCUUAUGCUGAUGCUUUCCUUGGCAGGGUCUGGUUGGCAGCCCCAGGUGUUGCUUCAGCUGCCCCGGCUCUGUGUUGGGCUCUCCCCUGUCUGCCCGUGAUGGGCAGUGCCCCGUGCAGGGGCCGGGGCCGCCCUCGUUGUCCCAGCGGCCGCAGGAGCCUCACAUUUGAUCUUUCACUCAAAUUAGCAGUGCGCUUGGGAUGUGUGUGUGUGCCUCGCCGGCAUGAGAUGUCGGGAGUAAAUAAACAAAGCUCUGCUUUCAAAGGCUUUCACGAUUCAUUAACUUCAAAGGAGCGGGUGCUCAGUUUCCCUAGCAGGUCGCUGUGUUUCCCUAGCAGGUCGCUCGCUGCAGCUCACUCUGGCUGCUGGAGGUGCCUGGCUGCUCUCUGGCCUGGUGCAAGCACUUUGCAUUGGCCACGAGCUCUGCACAAGCCUCCCCAUCCCCUUCCCGAGGCACAGCCCUGCUGCUUCCCGUGGGUGAGCAUGGCUGCACUUCUGUCCC